This 580-nucleotide ribosomal RNA is filed under the name uncultured fungus. Its description in RNAcentral is "eukaryotic LSU rRNA". The stretch from base 156 to 310 matches the Rfam family "5.8S ribosomal RNA". The record is from RNAcentral. Lineage: Eukaryota; Fungi.
GUGCACGCUCUGUUUACACAUCCACUCACACCUGUGCACCCUCUGUAGUUCUAUGGCCCGGGGGACCCUGUCUUCCUGCCGUGGUUCUACGUCUUUACACACACUCUGUAAUAAAGUCUUAUGGAAUGUAUGCCGCGUCUAACGCAAUACAAUACAACUUUCAGCAACGGAUCUCUUGGCUCUCGCAUCGAUGAAGAACGCAGCGAAAUGCGAUAAGUAAUGUGAAUUGCAGAAUUCAGUGAAUCAUCGAAUCUUUGAACGCACCUUGCGCCCCUUGGCUAUUCCGAGGGGCAUGCCUGUUUGAGUAUCAUGAACACCUCAACUCUCAUGGUUCGCCAUGAUGAGCUUGGACUCUGGGGGUUUUGCUGGCCCGCGGUCGGCUCCCCUCAAAUGAAUCAGCCUCCCAGUGUUUGGUGGCAUCACGGGUGUGAUAAAUAUCUACGCUCGCGGUUGUCUGCCAGGUAACCUUUGGUGACAAAGGUUUGCUGGAGCUCACAGAUGUCUCUCCUCGGCGAGGACAGCUUUUUUGAACGUUCGAUCUCAAAUCAGGUAGGACUACCCGCUGAACUUAAGCAUAUCA